Molecule: long non-coding RNA, 620 nt
Filed under: Glycine max (soybean)
Lineage: Eukaryota; Viridiplantae; Streptophyta; Magnoliopsida; Fabales; Fabaceae
Description: long non-coding RNA (GMAX_LNC002742)
Source: RNAcentral
AGAUACUGAACAGUGUGCAUUGCAUUGGCAUUGACAUAAUAUUGCAGCUGGAAAAAGACGCACUUUGCCCCUAGCAGUUUAUAUAGGAAUCAUAAAAAUGCAUGUAGUUUUUGGUGAACUCAUUCAAUGUAUUAGGAACAAACAACUGUUUGUUAGUUACAGGUUAUGACUGAGUGAGAAAGAGAGUGAGAGGGAUCUUCAGAUUUAACUUUUCUGGGUUCACUUAUUACAGCGUGACAAGUUCCAUUCUGAGUUUCGUAGAUUCCUGACAGGGGUUUAAGGUUGUGAGUACUUGAUGUUGGGAAAAAAGGUGUGGCCUUUACUCUCAUUGGAGAAUGUCUGAAUCUGCUUGGCACUGUCGUUGAAGUUGAACCAAGGAAAAAAUGAAGCUUUUAUAAGAGCCAGUAACGUGUCUUGGGAAUGUGAGCAUGAUUCGCAAAUGGGGUUGCUCUGAAUAGUUCACAAGAGCUCUCAGCCUCUCAGGAAGGAAAAAAAAGAGCCUUGUUUUUUGUUUUUUAUUUUUUAUUUUGUUUGGAGAAAGUGAGAGAAAAAAGGUCAAGGAAAUUUCCUUUCACCAUCUUGUUAUAUUGGAAAUAUAUUUCUUUUUCCUUUUCUUCUGG